AUUUGGUUAGGAUUUGAUUUAGGAUUAAUAUUUAGGAUUUGAUUAGGAUUUGGUGUAGGAUUUAGGAUUUUUUUAGGAUUUGAUUUAGGGUUUAUGGUUUGAUUAGGAUUUGAUUAGAGUUUGAUUUAAGAUUUAGGAUUUGAUUAGGAUUUGAUUAGGUUUAGGAUUUGAUUAGGAUUUGAUUUAGGAUUUAGGAUAUUAUUAGGAUUUAUUUAAGGUUUAAUAUUUAGUUAAUUUUUGGCCUAAAGUUUGAAUGAAGUCUAAUAGGAUUUUAAGUAGGAUUAAAUUAAAAUUGAAUUGAGAUAUAUUUGAGAUAUAUUUGUAAUCAUUUUAAUAUUUUUUAAAUUUUUUUUAUUAUUUCUUAAUAAUUCUUUUGAGGUUUCUUUGUAUUUGAUUAAAUCUUACUUAGUAUUGUUGUGGUCUAAUUAGAAUUUAAUUAGUAUUUUAUUAGAAUUAGAAUUUUGUUGUUGUAAUUUUCAUUCUACCUUCUAUAGUCAUAUAUCUAGAGCAUUUUCAA
RNAcentral lists this long non-coding RNA (517 nucleotides) under Physcomitrium patens. RNAcentral describes it as "long non-coding RNA (PPAT_LNC000432)". The record is from RNAcentral. Lineage: Eukaryota; Viridiplantae; Streptophyta; Bryopsida; Funariales; Funariaceae.